UCCCUGCUGGUCCAGUGGCUAAGACUCUGCACUCCCAAUGCAGGAGACCCUGGUUUGAUCCCUGGUCAGAGAA
RNAcentral lists this transfer RNA (73 nucleotides) under Capra hircus (goat). It matches the Rfam family "tRNA". From Rfam's summary of the family: Transfer RNA (tRNA) molecules are approximately 80 nucleotides in length. Their secondary structure includes four short double-helical elements and three loops (D, anti-codon, and T loops). The record is from Rfam by way of RNAcentral. RNAcentral also lists the same sequence under 1 other name. Lineage: Eukaryota; Metazoa; Chordata; Mammalia; Artiodactyla; Bovidae.